RNAcentral lists this ribosomal RNA (465 nucleotides) under Vreelandella stevensii. Its description in RNAcentral is "partial 16S ribosomal RNA". It matches the Rfam family "Bacterial small subunit ribosomal RNA", at positions 338 to 795 of the family's 1533-position model. The record is from RNAcentral. Lineage: Bacteria; Pseudomonadati; Pseudomonadota; Gammaproteobacteria; Oceanospirillales; Halomonadaceae.
CCUACGGGCGGCAGCAGUGGGGAAUAUUGGACAAUGGGCGAAAGCCUGAUCCAGCCAUGCCGCGUGUGUGAAGAAGGCCUUCGGGUUGUAAAGCACUUUCAGUGGGGAAGAAAGCCUUGGGGCUAAUACCCUCGAGGAAGGACAUCACCGACAGAAGAAGCACCGGCUAACUCCGUGCCAGCAGCCGCGGUAAUACGGAGGGUGCGAGCGUUAAUCGGAAUUACUGGGCGUAAAGCGCGCGUAGGCGGUCUGAUAAGCCGGUUGUGAAAGCCCCGGGCUCAACCUGGGAACGGCAUCCGGAACUGUCAGGCUAGAGUGCAGGAGAGGAAGGUAGAAUUCCCGGUGUAGCGGUGAAAUGCGUAGAGAUCGGGAGGAAUACCAGUGGCGAAGGCGGCCUUCUGGACUGACACUGACGCUGAGGUGCGAAAGCGUGGGUAGCAAACAGGAUUAGAUACCCUGGUAGUC